GACGAACGCUGGCGGCGUGCUUAACACAUGCAAGUCGAACGGAAAGGCCCUGCUUUUGUGGGGUGCUCGAUUGGCGAACGGGUGAGUAACACGUGAGUAACCUGCCCUUGACUUUGGGAUAACUUCAGGAAACUGGGGCUAAUACCGGAUAGGAUCUCCUGCUGCAUGUUGGGGGUUGGAAAGUUUCGGCGGUUGGGGAUGGACUCGCGGCUUAUCAGCUUGUUGGUGUGGUAGUGGCUUACCAAGGCUUUGACGGGUAGCCGGCCUGAGAGGGUGACCGGCGACAUGGGGACUGAGAGACGGACCAGACUCCUACGGGAGGCAGCAGGGGAGAAUAUUGCAGAAUGGGCGGAAGCCUGAUGCAGCAACGCCGCGUGCGGGAUGACGGCCUUCGGGUUGUAAACCGAUGUCGCCUGUGACGAAGAGUGAGUGACGGUAAUGGGUAAAGAAGCACCGGCUAACUACGUG
Molecule: ribosomal RNA, 468 nt
Filed under: uncultured bacterium
Lineage: Bacteria
Description: partial 16S ribosomal RNA
Rfam family: Bacterial small subunit ribosomal RNA
Source: RNAcentral